Galeopterus variegatus (Sunda flying lemur) is the source of this 520-nucleotide long non-coding RNA. RefSeq lists it as uncharacterized. The transcript has 3 exons. The record is from RefSeq and is a predicted model, not a curated record. NCBI's taxonomy places the organism in Eukaryota, Metazoa, Chordata, Mammalia, Dermoptera, Cynocephalidae.
UCUAGAAUUUCAGAGAGUUCUGUUAUGAUCUCUGUUGUAAUUAACAAUUUGGUUCAAGUUUGUUCUUUAAGUGAAUGUGCUAAGAAUUCCUAUGUGGUCUGGAUGUCCUGGAAUUAAAAGGAUUUAAGAGAUCAUGGUGUGCAUAUUCUAGGAUAAUAGGUUUUACCAGUCCCUGGAUGACGUGCUUGGGGAGUCAUUAAAUGCCAUAACCUACCAUCAUUUCAAAGAAGAGAAAAUAGAUGGUUUUGGAAAGUUCAUGCUAUUUCUUCACUGAAUUUUAGAAUGAUUGAAGAUAGUGGGAAAAGAGGAAAUACCAUGGCAGAAAGAAGACAGCUGUUUGCAGAGAUGAGUAAGUAUGGAACUUUUAAAGAACACCAUUCAAUGGAAACACAAUAGUUUCCAUUGAAUGCUCACAAAAAUGCUAGAAAUAACCUCUUAAUCCUUACAGCAUUUGUAUGUUUCUUUAAAAUCCUAAACUCCUUGAAUAAAGUGUACAUUUGGCCAUUUUGGCCUCCUAUUA